CCAAUGUUUUAAGCACCUUUGUGAUUCCCCUCUCUGUUGUGUCCUUAAAUUAGUUCUGAUUUAAUUUCUGUUACUUUCUGGGGUAGAUGGUGCUUGUCUUACUGCAGCAGAAGUUCUAGUCAGCUAUGGGUUUAUCUCACCAGUAGCUUUGUGAAAACUGUAGAGUUCAGACCUUUACAUGUAAGUGAGAGUACUCACUACUAUAGCAGCAGAAUAAGGGCUGUUUUAGAAACUCCAGAAUUCACAUGAAAAAGAAGUGAGAACAGAAUUAGUGUUUGGCCUUCAUUUAAAAGUGUGUGAUCUUGCCCUAUGGCUGCUGAUGAACUCUGUACCCUGUGCAUGGGCUUACAAAAUCAGAAGCCCUCUUCUUCUAGAUCUACACAAAUACCUGAGAGGUAAGGGUGGGCACAAGCUAGCAGAAAGAAAUGUAUUAUGCCUGCUUUAGGAAAAGAAUUGCCAAGAGAAAAUAGAGGUUACUGUGGUGGGUGGCAGGCUGUUGUGUUGAGUUCUCAGAGAAGGAUGAGAAGGCGUAUGAGCUAACAUCUAUCGUCUCCCCGAAAUAUGCUGAUGUGACAGCUUCUUGGACUGAAAAUGCACGCUUCUGGUAGAAUUCUUCUGACAGGAAAAGCAAGCAGUUCUGGCACUUAAAACCAGCACAAAACAAAACCCCCUCUGAAUAUUGAUUUGUGAUGUUAAUUUGUUUUAUGAAGAAAGUAGGUGGGUUAUUGUGCAGAAAUGCUGAAUGGACUGUAUGCUGCUGUUUGCAACCAAGAACCAAAAAAAAAAAUACUUGCUUAGUUUAGCCUCUGAAAGCCAGAACGACCCUUAGAAAAUCCACAUUGCAAAUAUUUGCUGUUUGGAGGACUGCUGAAACAAAAUAUUCAAGAGAACUAGGAAAUUGCUAAGUACCCACUAAGAAGAAAUACUGGUGGAGCCUUAAUAAUGGAACAGCACUGUCCUAAUUUGUAUCACACAGUGGCCUUUAUCCAGGCAGUCAGGACUAUUCUAACAGGAAUUACUUAAUCCUUUUUGGUGCCUCUCUUGGCAGAACACUUCUUCAGGUAGUUCAAGUCCAGAUGCUCUCAUUGAGGCAUUGUCCAGAGAAUUGGUUUUGUGCACCCAAAUGAAAGUAACUUGCUCUUCUGGAGCUUCAGUAUGGUUCUGUGUUUUAUGUGUAUCUAUUCAUGCAGUCUUGUUGUGAUGAGUAUGUUUUCAGGAUGUUGUGCCUUACAGGGGGAGAUGAAAUUGUAGGUUUUUGAGGCUGUGUCCUUAUCUGUCCUUGCAAGGCAUGGUGAACUGGAACUACUCAGUAACUGCUCAGUGACCAGUUUGCACAGAGUAAUCAAUAAGAUAGGCUGUUCUUUAAUUGCCAUCCUGGAUUUGAUUAUUCCUAUUGAAAGAACUUUUGAUAUCGGUAAAUGCAUUGCUAAUUGUCUUGCUCUGCUUGUUUGCAGCCUGCACAUUCUUGAUGCUGUUUCUCUUGAAUUAUGUAAAAGCACUGUUUGUUGUUUUGUAUUGUUAAAAAUAUUGGUACAGCCUGUCUUAGAUAAUAUCACUGCUUGAAAGGUCUAGAACAUCUGCACAGAAUGCUAAUGUCAGAGUGCCUUAAAGGAUUUUUUCUUCAUUCCAAUAUUGGUCUACAGUCGGGGCUUACGUAAUAGCUUCUUUUUCCACUUGUGAAUAGGUGACAACAGUCUUUUCUUUAGCAGUUUAUUGUGAUGUGUAUUUUAAAAAAAAUAAAAAAUUACAAACUAACAACCCCAUUUAGGAGAGUCUAAGUAUCGACUGGGUUUUUUUCUAAUCAGGAUAAAUUUAUGUAUCUGUGUAUAGGAUCGUUAAAGUAGCCAUUUUCCCUUCACCUGAUGAUGCUUGCAGUUUGUAUUUCCUGACACCAGAAGUUCAUUGUAUUUAAUAAGCAACUUCCUAUUGCAUUAGCAAAUUUCCAUCUGGUUGGAAAGGUACCUGAUUCUAUUACUAUAUUUGU
Molecule: long non-coding RNA, 1984 nt
Organism: Parus major (Great Tit)
Lineage: Eukaryota; Metazoa; Chordata; Aves; Passeriformes; Paridae
Exons: 4
Source: RefSeq, a predicted model, not a curated record